AGUGACGAUAGCCUAGGAGAUACACCUGUACCCAUGCCGAACACAGUAGUUAAGCCCUAGAACGCCGGAAGUAGUUGGGGGUUGCCCCCUGUCAGAUAUGGUAGUCGCUUAGCA
This 114-nucleotide ribosomal RNA is filed under the name Streptococcus intermedius. Lineage: Bacteria; Bacillati; Bacillota; Bacilli; Lactobacillales; Streptococcaceae. RNAcentral also lists the same sequence under 2 other names. The record is from RNAcentral.